Molecule: ribosomal RNA, 250 nt
Filed under: uncultured bacterium
Lineage: Bacteria
Description: partial 16S ribosomal RNA
Rfam family: Bacterial small subunit ribosomal RNA
Source: RNAcentral
UACGGGGGGGCAAGCGUUGUUCGGAAUUACUGGGCGUAAAGGGCCAGUAGGCGGCCAACUAAGUCCGACGUGAAAUCCCAAGGCUUAACCUUGGAACUGCGUCGGAUACUGGAUGGCUUGAAUUCGGGAGAGGGAUGCAGAAUUCCAGGUGUAGCGGUGAAAUGCGUAGAGAUGUGGAGGAACACCGAUGGCGAAGGCAGCCCCUGGCUGACACUGACGCUGAGGCGCGAAAGCCAGGGAGGCGAACGGG